AGAAUCAACGCUGGCGGCGUGCCUAACACAUGCAAGUCGCACGAGAAAGGGUAGCAAUACCUGAGUACAGUGGCGCACGGGUGAGUAACACGUGAAUAAUCUACCUCCGAGUGGGGAAUAAACUGAGAGAAAUCUUAGCUAAUACCGCAUAACACUUACGAGUCAAAGCAGCAAUGCGCUUGGAGAGGAGUUCGCGGCAGAUUAGUUAGUUGGCGGGGUAAUGGCCCACCAAGACGAUGAUCUGUAUCCGGCCUGAGAGGGCGCACGGACACACUGGAACUGAAACACGGUCCAGACUCCUACGGGAGGCAGCAGUGGGGAAUUUUGCGCAAUGGGGGAAACCCUGACGCAGCAACGCCGCGUGGAGGAUGAAAUCCCUUGGGAUGUAAACUCCUUCGAUCGGGAAGAUAAUGACGGUACCGAGAGAAGAAGCCCGGCUAACUACGUGCCAGCAGCCGC
This 459-nucleotide ribosomal RNA is filed under the name uncultured bacterium. Its description in RNAcentral is "SSU rRNA". It matches the Rfam family "Bacterial small subunit ribosomal RNA", at positions 26 to 518 of the family's 1533-position model. The record is from RNAcentral.